AACGAACGCUGGCGGCAGGCCUAACACAUGCAAGUCGAGCGCCCCGCAAGGGCAUCGGCGGACGGGUGAGUACCGCGUGGGAACUUACCCUUUGCUACGUAAUAGCCUCGGGAAACUGGGAGUAAUACCGUAUGUGUCCUUCGGGAGAAAGAUUUAUCGGCAAGGGCUCGGCCCGCGUUGGAUUAGGUAGUUGGUGGGGUAAUGGCCUACCAAGCCGACGAUCCAUAGCUGGUUUGAGAGGAUGAUCAGCCACACUGGGACUGAGACACGGCCCAGACUCCUACGGGAGGCAGCAGUGGGGAAUCUUAGACAAUGGGCGCAAGCCUGAUCGAGCCAUGCCGCGUGAGCGAUGAAGGCCUUAGGGUUGUAAAGCUCUUUCAGGGGGGAAGAUAAUGACUGUACCCCCAGAAGAAGCCCCGGCUAACUCCGUG
RNAcentral lists this ribosomal RNA (431 nucleotides) under uncultured bacterium. RNAcentral's name for it is "partial 16S ribosomal RNA". It matches the Rfam family "Bacterial small subunit ribosomal RNA", at positions 29 to 507 of the family's 1533-position model. The record is from RNAcentral.